Molecule: ribosomal RNA, 403 nt
Filed under: uncultured bacterium
Lineage: Bacteria
Description: partial 16S ribosomal RNA
Rfam family: Bacterial small subunit ribosomal RNA
Source: RNAcentral
AUUGAACGCUGGCGGCAGGCCUAACACAUGCAAGUCGAGCGAGCGGCGGACGGGUGAGUAAUGUAUGGGGACUGCCUGAUAGAGGGGGAUAACUACUGGAAACGGUUGCUAAUACCGCAUACUAACGGAUAACCCAUAUGGGAUAAGCUAGUUGGUGGGGUAAAGGCUCACCUAGGCGACGAUCUCUAGCUGGUCUGAGAGGAUGACCAGCCACACUGGGACUGAGACACGGGCCAGACUCCUACGGAGGCAGCAGUGGAGAAUAUUGCACAAUGGGCGCAAGCAUGAGGCAGCCAUGCCGCGUGUAUGAAGAAGGCCUUAGGGUUGUAAAGUACUUUCAGCGGGGAGGCGUUACCCGCAGAAGAAGCACCGGCUAACUCCGUGCCAGCAGCCGCGGUAAUUC